CCCCUUGUGGUGUAGUUGGUUUAUCACGUCUGACUGUAAUGGAAAACAUUAAAUCAGAAGGUCACCGGCUCGACUCCGGUCGAGGGGA
Molecule: transfer RNA, 88 nt
Filed under: Aspergillus recurvatus
Lineage: Eukaryota; Fungi; Ascomycota; Eurotiomycetes; Eurotiales; Aspergillaceae
Also listed under: 3 other names
Description: tRNA-Tyr
Source: RNAcentral